RNAcentral lists this long non-coding RNA (576 nucleotides) under Physcomitrium patens. Its description in RNAcentral is "long non-coding RNA (PPAT_LNC011117)". The record is from RNAcentral. Lineage: Eukaryota; Viridiplantae; Streptophyta; Bryopsida; Funariales; Funariaceae.
GAAUAUAAAUGCAUGAUAUGUUAUGUUUUAAAAAUUACGUAGUUCAAAAGUAUUUUUUAUUUAUUUAUUCAUAUCAUAUCAUAGAAUUUUUAAAGAUUUAUUUUGGUAAAAAUCCUAACUAUACUUUUUUGGUAUAAAAUAUAAAUAUGGAGACAAAAAAUUCUUACAUCUCAAGAAUCAUAGAAUAUUCUUUCUAUGUUUCUACAUAGAAACUAUCUAUUUACUUGUCUCAAGUCCUAGGAAUUGAAGUUUUGUCAUAGUUGAGGUUAAACAACUCAACUUUAAAUCUAACUUCAAUAUAUUUUAUUUGUCAAUCUUAUCUUAUCUUCUUCAACUUAGUCUUUAAAGCACUUUCUUCUUUGUGUUAAGAAUCCUCUAUAUCUUCAUAAACUUUAUCUUGCAACUCUCACAACUUAUUGAUAGAUCAAAAGUGUAUGAUGAAAUAAUAUAUAAGUAUGUCAAAUGUAAUCUCUUUUUUAUAAUUUUUUUAAUAAUUAAAAUAUAAUUUAUGGCUAUUUAUAGAUUUUAUAGUAUUUUUCUUUUAAUAUUAUUUAAACAUAAUAAAACUAUUAUAUU